CAGAGGUGGGUUUGGCUUUUUAAAAAUUUUUUCAGCCUGUCCUCAUGGAACUACAUAUUCUUUUCUAAGAACUUUUCAUCCUAACCUCCCUACUCACAUCUUCUAAGUGUCUCUGCUCUGGUGGGAAUGUGAUGGACAACACAGAGCCAUCUCAGAAGCCUCUGUGGCCACCACCAGGCCGGCCAGGGUGCAGGGGGCCACUCCCUGGGCAGCCAUAGGGUUCUCAGCAAGGUGCAUUCGUCGUCCCUGCUGAGAAUCUGAUGGGGCAGCAUUUUUUUUUUUAAUUAAAUGCAAGCUGAGUCAUUUCAACCUGCAACCUUCAGGUAACAGGAGUUACCCAAGCUCCAGGAAUUAUGAUUGUGGGGUAAACCCAUUCUCUUGUUUUCUUGCGGUUCUAUUUUAUAACGCACUAGAGGAGACAGAGACGUCAUUGCUUCACCCAGGGCAAGAGGACAAAGGAGGAUGCAUGGAAAUACAAACAGCCCUUCUCCUCCAGGCCAUACCGACUGUCCAACUAGCAACAGACUUCACCUGGUUUUGGAGCAAUCUGAAUUUGGAAUAUGCCAGAGAAAACUUCUAUCAGGCACGAUGGUAAGAGUCCAGUGGAUGGAAAAGGCCUCCUCCUUAAAGAUGGUGAUGGAAACGAGCACUGCACAGGGAAACACAAAUCAGGUCCCCUGAAAUCCAGCCCAACCUGGCCAGACCCUCCAGUGCCCAUCAGGGCUUAUGAACAGGGUGCUUCAGUGUCUUUGUUAGGGGUGGUUAAAAAGGAGCACGUGCUUAUAGGGGAUGCUGCUGAGCUCCAUGAUUUUGACUUCCUGUCUAACCUGUUGAUGCUACAAAACUCUUUUAAAAACAGUUACCAUGGGAACUUUUCCCUAGCAAGCAUUCUUCAAGAAACGUUACAGGGAGCUGUUGUUGGGACAGGACAAGAGUCCACAUCCCCUGCCCAGUGCCUGGUUCUGGGUCAUGUCACCGAAGCGCAUCAGCCCAUCUGUCAGCCAAACCCCACUAGCCUUGUGCCUUCUCUUCUAAAUCCCCGCGGAGGAAAACAACUUCUGCCUUCUACAGUACGAACAGCGAGGGUCUGCUGGGAACCAAUACAACUUCGCGUCCCAGUGCAGCAAUGUUGCCAGGUAACAAAUGUAGAAACAUACUCCAAAAACUGUAUGUGACAAUAUACAACCUCCGCUCUGCAGCUGAUAACCGAGGGAGUGUUAAAACACCGCGUUCUCUUAACACUUGGGUUUUUGGUGUGAAAGUAAAAUUAAACGGGAUACUUCCUCUUGUAAAUAUAAGACAGGCAUACAACUCACACACGUAUCCACUAAUCGGAAAUAGUAGAGGGGUUUGCAAUAGCUAUCUGCAGUGCAUCCCAGCCUUCACUCUUACCCUCAAGAUGAAUUCCAGAAAACCUACAGAAACGAUAACUGAGGAAGAGCCUUUCUUCUGUCGGGGACAAGCUCUCCUCUAACAAUUGUGAGGAAGCUACCCACAAGAAAGACACCAGCAGAAAUUAAGGAAAAGCUCAUGCAUUGUUAUUAAAAAAAAAUGUGCUUCCAUUCCACUCCAUUUUAAAGGUCUACCUUUAAAACUCAUUGGCUAACCAAGCAGUGACUACUUGCUUCUCAGAUCAAAUAACCAGUGCAGCCUGUUCCCACCCCAAACGAAAACAAGAUAGACACUGCUCUCUAGUAGGCAGAGCUCCAAAGUGGGUACAGGGCACUGAAUAGCUCCCUCACAUUGUACUCAUGUAACUUAAAGGCUGGCUAGCAUGGGAGAAAGCUGAGAGACUUCUGAGGGCCUUGUGUUCAAAUCCCAGCU
RNAcentral lists this long non-coding RNA (1824 nucleotides) under Homo sapiens (human). RNAcentral describes it as "non-protein coding EGOT:4". The record is from RNAcentral. Lineage: Eukaryota; Metazoa; Chordata; Mammalia; Primates; Hominidae.